This is a non-coding RNA of Pelobates cultripes (western spadefoot toad), 206 nucleotides long. The record is from the annotation of a GenBank genome assembly. NCBI's taxonomy places the organism in Eukaryota, Metazoa, Chordata, Amphibia, Anura, Pelobatidae.
CCCACAAUGACCAGAGGUCAUUUCAUUACCUUUAACUUAUUUCUGUUCUUUUCAGUGUGAAAAUUGGCUCCCUAUGCUGAGCUACCACGGAUUUCUGACAGUUUCCACCUGUUAAAGAAGUUUGACGGAUCCACUACGUUAUGGACCUUGUUCGUUGUUCUACUAGUUUCGCUUUAAAGAAAGAGGAAGAGGCAGGCACCACAGAG